UCUUUAUCCCAUGUUUUCUGAUUAUCAGUGUUAGUUAGAUUUAACAUUGUGUUGAGGUUUAAUUUGAAGAAUGUUUUUACUGAUUUUUUGAAUCUUGCAUGAAAAUAUAGCUUACUUUCGCCUAAAAUUUUAAGCUAAAUAGUGAUUAAUUGUUACACCUCUAUUCUGCGUAUUUGGCUUUGCUGUUUUCAUGGUUUAUUCGUCAUUUUUAUCUGUUUUUGGUCUUCCAGUAAGAAUGUAUUUGAGUUUGUUAUUUGACAUACUGCAUCCGUACUUGCACCAGAGGUGUUUGAGAAAUCGCCCGAAAGAAGAAACUACUAAUCUUUUUGGGCUCUGUUAGGACGCUCUUAAAUCCAGAUUGUCUGAUAAAAAAUAGCUUUGAAUAUGAUGGGCAACUUCCCAUUAAAGGUGCGCUGUUCUAUGACAGUUUGAAAAUUUCAUUCUCCAGCAGAGAUAAUCUCUGAAAAUGAAUUUAGUAUUCGAAAGUUGUGUUUGCUAGCCAUAGUUCAGCUAACAAGGUUGUUUAUUAUCGCCAAUUAUUUGAUAGCAGUUUCUGGUAUUGCAGAGGACGGAACGUGACUUUUCAAGAGAAUUGGAGCUUUUUCACACUUUCCUGGUGUCUAUUCUGAACUUAGAGGUCAUACAUGAUGAGUUAACUAAGUCAUGCACACUUGCAAGCCACUGCUAAUUAGCAAGUAGCUCAUUUGAGUGGAACUUCCUCAACUCAAGUAAUAUCUAAUGCACUCUUGACUGAUACUGGCUGCUGUUACGUUAGUAGAUUAAAAUUCUGCUCUAACUGGUUUUGUAUGAAAAUUAACUCCCCAGGAAAAUAUGGAAAAGAUGAAAGCUGGUGCACUAACAAAGUUUUUUCUCUACAUGGUCAUGAACAUUUGUUCUUGCAUUUAACCCUCAUAUCCCUCCACUUCACUCUCCUAUUUAUCUGUUGUAAGUUCAAUUCUAGAAAAAGAGUUUCCCUAUUGAGCUCUUAGAUUUCCUUUUAGUCUUCAAUAUGUUGCAAUAAAUUGAAGUGAUUAUGUUUCUUAUUUUAUUUUUGAAUUCAUGAAGAAUUAUUAUUACUACAGUAAGAAAGUUUUUGCAGAAAAGUGUAAACAAUUUUUUUUAUGAAAGUAGCUUAUAAAGUAGAAACUUUGGAGGAAAUUGACAAAAAUAUAUGCCCUCUACUUAGACAUUAAUUAACUUUUUAUUUUUAAUUUGGCUCGAUUACUCUGAAAAAUCAAGAAUCUGCUGCUAGAGAGUGAAAGAUAUCACUGAAAGUUUCCUCAACGAACUAAUAAAAUAUUAGGGAACUUAAAGAGAAGCAGGCACUCCAAUUCUUCAAUGGAGAAAGGAAGGUCAAGAAAGACAAAGAGGCCAAGAAAGAUCCUAAUAAGCUUAACAGGCCUACCAAUGCCUUCUUCAUAUUCCUCUAGGCUUUGUUUUCUUAUAAUAAGUUUAGAUUCAGUGGUGUAGUACAGUUGUGUGAUGUAACCGACAAAUGGUCAUGUAUGCUACUGCAGUUAGGAAUUCAGGAAGACAUUUAGAAAGGGAAAUCCCAAUGUGAAUUUGUGGGAAAGUAAAAAUUCAAGUUUAGAGCUUCAAGUUAUUGGUUAUUUGAGUUGGUGUCUGGAAAUUUGCAUUCUGAAGGCCUCUUUCCCAUUGGUUUGAAGAUUUGCAGACCUUUUAUGAUAGUUAUGAUAGUUUAAAUAUUCCAACUUCUGCAGCAUCACUACUCUGCAAGUAGUGGCUUAGCGAGUAAGAUACAAUCAAGAUUCUUCUGUGGCUUUUUUUUUUUUUUUUUUUUACAUCAGCUUCAGUAGAUUAAGCUCUGAAAUAAAUGACUUCUUAAGAAAGGUAAGACGAACUACAUUGCAUCCAUAAUUACUUCUAUGACAGUAGAUUAGAUUUGGUACAAGUAUAUAUAUUUUAAUAUUCACAACUAUUUUAAUAUUUUAAUGUUUUUUCUUUUAGUUCAGGGUAUAGUGAAACUAAAUUGUGAACCUUCGAUCUCUAAUUUUGCAACAGAGGAAUGGCAGUGGCUUCUCUCAACUCCUUCUCUGAGGAACAUCUGGACAAGGUAAAGUAUGUAAAUAGAAUUUCUUUAAAGAGAAUGAUUUGAGUCUAUUAAAGUAUUUUUUACUCCGAUUUUGUGCCAGAAGUAGUAGGGCUAUUUUUGAGUCUAUUAAAAUUAUUUUUCUUCUGUGCGAGUACUCAUUUGAGGUAAUUUCUUUGACCUUUUAUAUGAAGUUCAUAUUUGUUUGACGGCCGGCUGAUUUUUGGUUAAUUACCUAUUAAACUUAUGUGGAAUUACUGUUUUUCCCGGAGAAUUUAUUAACUGCUUUUGGUGUGCAAUACAACCAGUGCGUCUUACGACAUUCUUUUUUACCAUUCUCUGGGUGUAAAUCAUGUGGGAAUAUAAUGGGCAAUGUCACAUUGCAUAUGUCGAACUAUUUGCCAUUAGCAUUAGCAUGUACGCCUAAUCAUUUGAAUAGUAAUAAAUAGCAGGUACGCCUAAUGCCUUUCUAAUUAAGGUUAGAAAGGUUAACAAAGUUUCAAUGGUGUGCAUAUCUCCAGUUGCAUGUUCUUAUAUAUAUAUAUGAUAAGUUGCAUAAAUGGUUAGGUCCUUUCCACUUUAACUGGACCUUUGUGCUUUACCUUUAUUGCAUCUUCUCAUUUUUUCCUAAGCAUAAAAUUUAUCCUUUCUGUUCCUUUUCUCUGUUAUGCCUUUGCAGUUUUUCACCUCAUUUUUCUGGAAAGUCUUUCACAUGAUGGUAGCAGCUUCAUAUGUGAAAUGGCUUUUCAAAAUUUAUCUUUUUUAUGUAGUCAUAUUAGUGAUCUUCUUACAGAAUCUUAUAUAAGCAGAAGUAAAGAUAAAGUUGCUUUCACACUCUUUUGCUAAAAAUUAAUUUAUUUUCCCUUGACCUUGAUCCACAUCAGAAGCAUAAAUAUACUUGCACAAAUUCAUCUAUGGUGUUUUCCAAAGAAAUCUUCUUUCCGGCACGCAGGAGUUCCAUGGAGCUCUUAAAAGGCCUCAAAAGUCUAAAAGCUAUAAACUUCCAUUUAGCUAUGUAUGUUGUCUUGAUGCUAUGAAUUGGAAUUAUUUUCAUGGUUAUCAUGCUUGAAUUUUAAUUAUAUGUCGACAUGAUUUAUUAUUCAUUACAGAAGAAAAGGGUUGUCUAAGCCAUUGAUAAGCUGGAGAGCAAAACAAAACACUUUGUUUACCUCUAGAUUAGCAUUCAACAACUUAAAAGGGUAAAAAAAAACUCAAUUCUUUGAAAAAAUAUGUGUGUGUGUGUGUAUCUAUAUGUAUGAAUGAAUUCCUCUUCACAAGAAGGAAUUCUCUAGCUGACCAAGCUUUCAGUAGUUCCUUCUUGUUAACACCAUAACUUUGUUUGGUUAGACAGCAGCAGGGUGGCUUUUGGAUUUGUCAAAAGGGACACAAGCUCAUCUCUUAGCUUCUGACCAAUGUGAAAUGACUGGAAUUUUUCACAAAAUUCCCUCUCAAUAACAAAAUGUGCUCAAUAUUUCUCUUGAUCCUUCCGUUACCUCACCAGUUAUCGAUACAGUAAAAGACUCAAUCAGAAACCUGAUAUAUUCCGCUAGUAGAAAUACUAAAAAAUAUCCGCUGUGAAUGAGGCUUACUUCUUGUAAGAAAUCUGCUACUCCUUUUAUUUCAGGGCAAUUGAAUUCAUGUACUCGAAGAACUGUAUAUUCUAAAAUGUUUCCACGAGAAUCUUGGUAAACAAUUUAUCCAUCUGAUAGUAGAGCUAUGUCAUCAAGUAAGUCAUAAGUUUUUGGUGCAGGCUGUAGGAGUGAGAUCACAUUAGUUCCGUUAGACUGCAUUGCAGCAAUGCUUGUUAUGGACGGGGUUCUAAUUUGUUUCUGGUCUCAGCUCUCAAUUUCGGGUGAUCGAGGUAUCCUUCAUGAAGAAAAUUCAUGGUCAUUCAUGUUCAGAAAAUUCAGCUGUACCAAUGGGUCAAACAUCUGCCGGCAUCCGGUAGUCACUGCUAUUUACGUGUCCAUAGAAUAGGUACCGACUGCAUCACCUAUGUGAGCUUUUCGUCUUCGUCCAAAAUUUUCUUCAGCUUUAUCCCCUCUUCCAGAUUUUUCGUUUCAAUCAUCUUCUGCGCUGGGUCUGGCAUUAUUCAGGUUACUAUUUUCUUUGCCGGUCUUGUUUGUUAGAUCUUCCUACACCCUUUUCUGCUGUCUUUCAUACUUCUACGGCGGGAAUCAUAUAGAUCAAUUAUGUUCCCUCUUUUCUCACGUACCCUUGUGGCCCAAAAUCUUCCAGCGACCGCCUUUUCAAUGAUGUGAAUAUGCGGUGAACUACAUGUGUCAGAAUUUGCUUUGCUUUUGGAACUUGUGAGUUGUUCUGUUUUAGUAGCCGGUUUUUUCGCCUCUAAAUAUUAGGAGCGCUAAAAGAGAAGUUUCUUAUUUAGCAUUUUGAAAUAGUGGAAGAAUCUGAGUAUUAUGAUUUCUGUAGAAUAGAUAUGGGGAGCCUAUUAUCCCGGGCUUUCGAAUUUCCUUCUUAAUCUUUUACUUUCUAAAUUUGAUUUUUUACCUUUGCUUAGUGAUUGCUUUUAUUUUAGUUCGUUAUACUUCAAGUUUCAUCUGUUUGUACUUUUAAAAUCUGCUAUAUGGAUCCAAUUAUAUAAUUAUUGGGAUUUAGAGAUUAAGGUGUAUUCUUUUUUUUUUUUCCUCAUUUGGUAAUUUGUUACACUAAUAUUCAUUCGAUAUGAAGUACAAAUGGUGUAGAAACUGUCUCAUCCUUUAUGGCCUGUUGAAGAAAUAUUUGGCAAUAAACAUGCUCACUAGAUCCAAGUUUCAUCAGAUUGUAUGUGGAGUUAAAAUUAUUAGAAGUGAAAAGUUUUUUUUUCCCAAGAUAGUUUUUCCAGUUUCUAUGGAACCAAAGAAGCAGCAGAAGAAAAAUUCAGCAGAAACAGCUACUAAAGUUUCAUCUAAUCGGGGCUCUACCUUUCAACUCUUGCUGCUUGUUGUUCUCAGUCUCUCUUUUUUUUUUUUUUCUUUUUUUUCUUUUCCAGUAGUACUUCAUUAAAGUAAAGAGAAUUGAAGAAGCCUAAACAAAUGGCGAGUUUGGGGGUCCAUGCUACCAUAGGAUAUUCUUCUUUAAGGUAGAGUCUAUGUUCUAUGCUAAUGAAGAAAACUAAAGGGUAUCUUUUAGAUCUCUGAAGAGAGACGAAUUUCGUUUACAAUUUUAAGUUGAUUGGUGAUACAUUACCCUAUAGUGUCAAAGCUGAUAACUGGCUAUCCAUUUCAGGAAAGGGAAUGUAGAGUUACCCUCGAACUUGAUCACGAUAUUGAUGCAAGAUCUUCCUGCUUGCCUGGAGAUAAUGAAAAGAUAUUUGAAGAAGUGGAUGGUACCUGCUGGUUACAAGUUUUCAGAAUUUCAAUAGAAUCUUUGUUUCUUCAGAGUGUUUGCACAUUUUGAGAGAUCGAACUAAAGAGCAUUAGGAAGUCUAAGCCGGAGCUACCAACAUUUCCAAAGCGUGAACUUCCAACGUUGCCAAAACUCGAGAUGCCUGCUAUUCCUAAGCCUGAGCUACCAACUUUGCUAAAAUCAUUUGCAGCUUCCCUUUUGGAACGUUUAUUUGUGUGAUUUUUCUGUUAUCAGAGCAGCCACCUUUCAGAAUAUAUAUUUAUGUGAUUGUUCUAUCAUCAGUAAUUUCCAAGUUCACAUUUAUAUUAUUUUUAUACGCUAAAUCUUGAAUUUUUUAGGUGGCCUGUGACUGGUGAUUUACUUUGUUUAUUUCUUAAUCUCCAAUAAUUGGUGACUAAAUAGAGGUGAUUUUCCACAUUCGAUACACUAUGCAGUAUAUGACCGACCAUUAUUUCUCGAUUUUGUUACCAGUGAAAGAUCCGCUACUGUUUUGCAAUAUGGUUGGCUUUUUUAAUGCACUUGACUCUACUUUUGGUUCUACUUGUUGGGUAUUUCAAUGUACAUCUUCACUAUUGCCUCCACGUUCGCUGCAUGCUCAGGUUAGCUCAUCUGUUCGACUGUCAUUUUUUCUAGCUUUUGUUAGAUGAUCUACUGAUAAUUGACUUAGCAAAUGUCUAUCUUUGUGAUGAGUUCAAGCACACAAAUAUUUGAUGACAACAUAUGAUUUGCUUUAGUUAUGAAUAUGCUCAUUUUCUCUUAAAAAUAUGUAUACAUAUUGAAGCUCUUCCCAUUUGUUUUAGUUGUGUUAUGUUUCCUUUGACUACUAUUAUCUUAAUAUCAUGCAUUACUCUACCGGUAAUUUCUGCCGAA
This is an RNA transcript of Lycium ferocissimum, 6265 nucleotides long. RefSeq lists it as uncharacterized. Lineage: Eukaryota; Viridiplantae; Streptophyta; Magnoliopsida; Solanales; Solanaceae. The transcript has 5 exons. The record is from RefSeq and is a predicted model, not a curated record.